UUUAAUUCAUAAUGUUAUGUUAAAAAGACGUGAGUAAAAGGGAUGAUCACCUCUGGAAGAUGUUAAGGAACCAGCUCACUAUCUUGAAAACUGACACACGUGCCUGAACAAUGCUGCCGACUGCAGGAGGAGGAUGAGAAGUUCACGGAGCUGACUCACCCAGACAGCUGCCCCAGCCAGGAGCCUCUGAGCACAGCCACCCACAGGCACAGGAGAUAAAGCUUCUCCCUUUUCAAAGUUGUGGUCAUUCAAGUGCUAUCUACAAGUUUUUUGAACUCCCUGCUACCUCUUCAUUGCUUCUGAAACAAUAUUGCAAAGUAGAUUUUUUUUUUCUUUUGAAGUCUACAUUUUCAGGGCUUCCCUGGUGGUUCAGUAGUAAAGAAUCCACCUGCAAACGCAGGAGACAUGUUCCAUCCCUGAUUUUGGACAAUCCCAUGUGCCUCGGAGCAACUAAGCCGUGUGCCACAAUUGCUGAGCCUGUGAUCUGGAGCCCCAGAAUUGCAGCUACUGAGUCACAUGCUGCAAAUGCUGAAGCCCAAGUGCCCUAGAGCCUGUGCAACAAAAGAAGCUGCCACAAUGAGAAGCCUGCAAACUGCACGG
Non-coding RNA from Odocoileus virginianus texanus, 600 nucleotides. NCBI's taxonomy places the organism in Eukaryota, Metazoa, Chordata, Mammalia, Artiodactyla, Cervidae. The record is from RefSeq and is a predicted model, not a curated record.